Culex quinquefasciatus (southern house mosquito) is the source of this 366-nucleotide long non-coding RNA. RefSeq lists it as uncharacterized. The transcript is spliced from 2 exons. The record is from RefSeq and is a predicted model, not a curated record. Lineage: Eukaryota; Metazoa; Arthropoda; Insecta; Diptera; Culicidae.
UCAAGACUGGCCUCGUUUGGCAAGGUCGGCCAUGUUUGUAAACAUAAGAAAACGGAGAUCGUGAGACUCGGAACCUUUUUGGAGCGUUCUGAGAAAGAUUCUUGGCCGGGAAAGGCAGGUGGGGCUGUUUGAAGACGUUUACUAAGAUUCCCCAAAAUCGUUCGCAGCUGUCGCUUCUCCCGGAGAUCGCAUCGCAACGGCAGCGGAGAAGAAUCGGCAAUCAGCGUCAGCACCAUGGAUAAGGCCGUUUCUAGCCGUACAAAUGCCAGAAUUGUGAAUGUUCCUGAAGAAGUUUUAAAACCGUGCUGGGGGAAGUGACAAAAGUGAUCAUCAGAACCGGCUAGCCGCUGCUGAAGGAUUUGUAGG